This is a non-coding RNA of Physcomitrium patens, 2331 nucleotides long. Lineage: Eukaryota; Viridiplantae; Streptophyta; Bryopsida; Funariales; Funariaceae. The record is from RefSeq and is a predicted model, not a curated record.
AAAAAUAGGAUUUUCUAAUGAUAGGAAGACUCUUGAGAGAGUAAUCAGAUAUCAUUGUUAACACGUAGGACAUAAUUUCUGCAGUUGCUGGACUCAUUCGCAAUGUGAACAUGGUGAAGCAAAUUCGACACGGCCUCUUCAAGCAAGUGAAGGUUUCUGAGAAGGUGAAGAAUAUGCAGAUGCUGGUAAACAAUUGUCACAACCUUGGGAUCAUUAGAACGCAAAUGGAUGAGAACAUUGCGGAGUAGCAACCCACUGUCAAAGAAAACACGGAGAACGAGGCGUUCGAAGCAAAACAGAGAAAAGAAAAGAAGGAAAGGAACUUGUGAAGCAGCAACGGGCACAGCUGUGAAGGAUGGGAAACAAGUAGAACAACGUUUGGAGAAAGGGGAGGGAGAGUGAUCCGCAGCGAACGAGAACGCGUCUUCACACAAUCACGUCCAAGCAGAAGCCGAUCAUCCACAACCACAGCGAAGCCUCAACAUAGAGGAGCAGUUGGUAGGUGACGGCUGAGCAGCGGGGAAAGUAUUUUUAAGACCUAGCUGGGAGCAGUAGCAGUGGUUAGUGUGUCGUUUGAAAGCCCCGACACUUAUGAACGUAGUGAGACUAAGGAUAUCCUUCAACCUAGAAUCCAUACACUGCAGAAGUUGAAUAUCGUGAAAUGCUACGUAAGUGAGCUUACUGCCUUCUGAGUCCAUGAUGUGAACGCAGCUAGUUGUUUCUCUCUUUUCUCUGUUUAACGCUUCCUCUCUCACCCUUUUGCCACUUGCAGUAGGUCGCCGAAGCCAAGCGAAUCGUUAUUUAUUUAUUUAUUUAUUUUUACUUUUUUUUUUUUGAUUCUAAUGUCAAUUUUGGCUGGAUCUUGUUAGCCCGGUGUUUCUAGUGCUGGAUCCAGAUAGAAUACACCGUUGUUCGAUAGUUGGUUUAUCGUUGGAGGGCCGCGGAUAUCCUUCAAUUAGACUCUUGGAUUGGUGAAGUUUGUGUAGGAGCCUCUCAGUGUUAGCUAUCCGACGAACCAAUAAUUUAUUAGAAUUGAAGUCAGGACGGAGUUGUGGCAACAAUUCAAGUGAAGAGUGGUCCGCUGCGUUGACAGGUUGGAUCUCCCAACUUCGCAGAAGCAACUUUCGAUUCUCAACCAUUGGAUUGCUGCUGGUGGUGCUGAAGCCGCGUGAUGUCUGGUUGCAACAAGCCAAGAAUCGUCCAAAUCGGAGCACCAAGGAGAUGAGAGCGGCUGUUUGAAUAAAGGGAGGUCCUCGUGUUAGGAGCUUGGUCAAAGGCAAGAGAACUUUUACUUUCCUUUCAGUUGUUGCAUAAAUCUCUUAACUUACGUGUUUACAGGACCUAAUCUAGUUUUUUCAGAAUUGGUUCAAUAAAGGUCAGAACAGGUUUAUCUUAACCAAUCCUGUCUGCCCAGUUAUGACAAAGCCAUAAACAUUCCAGUGCGAAACUGAGGUACAUGUAACAUGGACACUCCCUACGAGUCCCAGAAACACGGAAAAUUUAUCAUCAAUGUGAUGAUUUUUAGCUAGCCAGUCCCUCCUCCACGACGUGGUCAAGGAAUCAAUUUGUUACACAAGCAGGGAUGGACAACGUGGACGAAAAACUGAGCAAGUAACUUGAUGGUUAGAGUUCCUACCGACAAUUGCAGAUAGGCAACGUUGUUCAGAAUUCAGUGUUGUAAAGGUGUUCGAAAUUUAGUACCGAUUUGUAAGUGCUCAUGAGCUAAGGUGGUUGUUCAUUAAAACACAUAAUUGUGGUGUAUGGUUGGCAGCGGAAAUUCCUCGUGAGACAGGUAGUGAAGUUUAUAGUGUAGUGAAAAAUUCAUGUAAGCAGCUUGGCUGUCGAUAAAACCAUCGGCUUUGCUGAAGAAUUUCAUGUGAGCAUCUAGCAUCUGGAGUUCGGAUAGCUUCUUGUGAUACUCAUAUUCUCCCUACAAUUAUGAUACCAUUAUCAUCCGUCAGCCUCAUCUCCAUUUCCUGAGUUUCUCUCGAAGGCAGCUUCGCCUACCCACUUUCAUUCCUGUGAAGGGAUUUGAAGAUUGAACGACUUUGAGCCGCCACUGCAUAGACGAGCAAUUCCAUUUCUUCCAGCACAACUGCUAUCGCAGCUACUCCAGGCUCGUUUUCCACAUCUUCCACAUUGCGGUGAGACUUCCAGAUUGGAUGAAUUGCUGCAUUGGAUGGAUGACUAAUUGAGUUGGAUAAAGUUAGGUUAGGAAUUUAAUAAACUAGGAUGAACACUUGAAUGAAUACUUAUUUAUGGAUGAAUUCUCAUCCUUAGAUGAUAUCUCAUUCAUGGAUGAAGUAUUAUAUAAAGAUGAAUUUUCGUCAA